AACGCACAUUGCGCCUCUCGGUAUUCCGGGAGGCACGCCUGUUCGAGCGCCAUUUCACGCCCCAAGCGAUGCUUGAUGUUGGACGAUGUUGGCCUGUCUGUCGACUCCCGUUGGGGAGUGGAGGGAAAGGGACGACACGUCUGGAACGCGUUGGCGCCGCCGCCGGACCACGAGCGUAGCAAGACGAUGAAAAAAGUCAAGUCGCUUGGUUGGAACCGGACGGACGGUGAUUGCUAGGAAGUUACUUUCCAAACGAAUUUGAAUGGUUUGGCCUCGGAUCAGGCGGGGAUACCCGCUGAACUUAA
This 305-nucleotide unclassified non-coding RNA is filed under the name uncultured Venturiales. Its description in RNAcentral is "sequence contains 5.8S rRNA gene, ITS2, 28S rRNA gene". The record is from RNAcentral. Lineage: Eukaryota; Fungi; Ascomycota; Dothideomycetes.